UCCGCACCACCACCAUCGUCUUCUUCACACUGCACCACCACCAUAAUCAUUCAACCCAUUCAAGAACUCAAGAUUUUUUUUUCUUUAUUUGUAUUUUUCCAAAGGUGCUAAUUUUAUCAGGAAAAAAAAAAAAGAAAGCAAUAGUCAACAAAUAAACACUUAAGCCUAGUCGAAACAACAUCAGUCAAGCAAGUACACGGCAGCAACAUACAAAUCAGCAAUACACAGAAAAACACUCAAGACUAGGAAAAAAAAAACAAAUUUUGGCACAACAGAGAAAAGAGACGAGAUGCAACAGAAGCAACAACCAAAGGAUAGCAGGAACAGAAUUCGGGGUAUCAGGUUCUUAAAUCUUUUGAGUCUUCGUUCGAGAACCCCAACAGUGGGAAGGCAGGGAGGACCGAGGGAAAGCCAUAACUGAAUUUCCAAGCCUAUCUAACAGCCAAUGGCAUAAAUCGAGUUUAAGGUAGUUUGAGACUUGGGUGUUGGUUUCAUGGAGUUCGAGGUUAUGCUUGUGAAAUCUAAACUGGAGAAGAGAUAGAGGAGGCUUGGAGCUUUCUUUUGAUCGGUAGUCCGAAGCCGGAGUGUGGCGGUGUGGCAGUGGAGAGGCUGAGAAGCUGCUGGGGUUCGAAAGAUAAAGAAAGAAAGCUUUUUAAUUUUCUAGGAGAAGGUGCAAAAAU
This 680-nucleotide long non-coding RNA is filed under the name Gossypium barbadense (sea-island cotton). Its description in RNAcentral is "long non-coding RNA (GBAR_LNC019409)". The record is from RNAcentral. Lineage: Eukaryota; Viridiplantae; Streptophyta; Magnoliopsida; Malvales; Malvaceae.